This 717-nucleotide unclassified non-coding RNA is filed under the name Hevea brasiliensis (rubber tree). Lineage: Eukaryota; Viridiplantae; Streptophyta; Magnoliopsida; Malpighiales; Euphorbiaceae. The record is from RNAcentral.
AUGGAUUGAUGGAGUUAAAAGUGGUAAAAUGAAGUUCUCUUUUCAAUUUUGAUUUAUUUAUGCUUCUUGUUAUUUCUAGUUCUUGGCUUUAGUUUAGCUCUGCUUGUUCUGCCAAUCCUGUGUACGCGAGCCUUUUGCUUUAAUAGUCGAGGUUGAUAACUUGAUUUUGUGUUUUGAGGAGAACUGGAAGUAUAUUUAGAGUUAUGUAGUCGCAUUGACAAUUCUAAUCUGGUGUGUUAAUCUAAAUGAGCCAUUGUUAUUGGCAUCAAAUCUCGUUAAUUGAAAAUAAAUCUUCAGUGACAAAGUGUUUUUAUUUACUGCUGAGACUAUUUAGUAGGUGUGGUAUUCUCUUGUCUUAAUAGUGUUGCUGUUUUUUUUUUUUUUUAAUUAAUUACAAAGGUAGGGGAGGGAGGAGUCGAACCUGGGUUUUCCAGUUCAACAUGUAUGCAACUAUCACCACUGCCUCUUGUCUUAACAGUUAAUUUAUCUUUGGUAGUCAAAAUAAAUUUCUUAUUUUUCAAUAUCUUGGCUUGGAUUGCGAUCUUCUGGGUUCUUUGAUUUUUGAAUUUUCCAUGUGCUUUUGUAGAUUGUCAUAUUGUGAAUUUUGUUGCUAUGCACAUAAACUUUGCUAAUAGAAAUCUGUACAUGCUGUUGUUGUUUCAAUGAUUUGUUAUAUUCUCUCUGGAAUUUGCAGGCUAUGGCAAAUUUCAUGUCUCG